Molecule: non-coding RNA, 843 nt
Organism: Pelobates cultripes (western spadefoot toad)
Lineage: Eukaryota; Metazoa; Chordata; Amphibia; Anura; Pelobatidae
Source: the annotation of a GenBank genome assembly
UACACACAGACAGACGUACUGGCACAUACACACAGACAGACAUUAAAACAUUCACAGAUACAUACCGACACACACAUACACUGACACACAAAUAUAUCCUGGCAGACAUACUGACACACACGUAAACACACACACACACACUGACAUACACACACAGACAUACUGGCAUACACACAGACAUACUGGCAUACACACACAGACAUACUGACACACACACACAGACAUACUGGCAUACACACACAGACGUACUGACACACACACACACACACACACACACACACACACACACACACACACACACACACACACACACACACACACACACACACACACACACACACACACACACACAGACAUACUGGCAUACACACAGACAUACUGGCAUACACACAGACAUACUGACACACACACACACAGACAUACACACACAGACAUACUGGCAUACACACACACACAGACAUACUGGCAUACACACACAGACAUACUGGCAUACACACAGACAUACUGACACACACACACACAGACAUACUGACACACACACACAGACAUACUGACACACACAGACAUACUGACACACACACACAGACAUACUGACACACAGACACAGACAUACUGGCAUACACACACACACACAGACAUACACACACACAGACCUACUGACACACAUUUAGCCACCCUCCAGGUUCUUACCUUUUUCUGGAGGGUGGUUUCCCUGGUCCAGUGGCAGGCUGAGGCAGAUGGGAGUUCUCCUCCUCCCUGCCUUCCUCCUCCCGCGCGGCUAUCUCCGGUGGGAGGAAGUGACGUCACUUCCUCCCAGCCGGCUGCAGAACCGGAAGAGGGGCC